Molecule: ribosomal RNA, 497 nt
Filed under: uncultured bacterium
Lineage: Bacteria
Description: partial 16S ribosomal RNA
Rfam family: Bacterial small subunit ribosomal RNA
Source: RNAcentral
GAUGAACGCUGGCGGCGUGCCUAAUACAUGCAAGUCGAGCGAACAGACGAGGAGCUUGCUCCUCUGACGUUAGCGGCGGACGGGUGAGUAACACGUGGAUAACCUACCUAUAAGACUGGGAUAACUUCGGGAAACCGGAGCUAAUACCGGAUAAUAUAUUGAACCGCGUGGUUCAAUAGUGAAAGACGGUUUUGCUGUCACUUAUAGAUGGAUCCGCGCCGCAGUAGCUAGUUGGUAAGGUAACGGCUUACCAAGGCGACGAUGCGUAGCCGACCUGAGAGGGUGAUCGGCCACACUGGAACUGAGACACGGUCCAGACUCCUACGGGAGGCAGCAGUAGGGAAUCUUCCGCAAUGGGCGAAAGCCUGACGGAGCAACGCCGCGUGAGUGAUGAAGGUCUUCGGAUCGUAAAACUCUGUUAUUAGGGAAGAACAAAUGUGUAAGUAACUAUGCACGUCUUGACGGUACCUAAUCAGAAAGCCACGGCUAACUACGUG